This 224-nucleotide ribosomal RNA is filed under the name uncultured bacterium. Its description in RNAcentral is "partial 16S ribosomal RNA". It matches the Rfam family "Bacterial small subunit ribosomal RNA", at positions 524 to 746 of the family's 1533-position model. The record is from RNAcentral.
UACGUAGGGCGCAAGCGUUGUCCGGAAUUAUUGGGCGUAAAGAGCUCGUAGGCGGUUUGUCGCGUCUGCUGUGAAAACCUAAGGCUCAACCUUGGGCUUGCAGUGGGUACGGGCAGACUAGAGUGUGGUAGGGGAGACUGGAAUUCCUGGUGUAGCGGUGAAAUGCGCAGAUAUCAGGAAGAACACCCGUGGCGAAGGCGGUUCUCUGGGACGGUAACUGACGC